UACGUAGGUGGCGAGCGUUAUCCGGAAUUAUUGGGCGUAAAGAGCGCGCAGGUGGUUGAUUAAGUCUGAUGUGAAAGCCCACGGCUUAACCGUGGAGGGUCAUUGGAAACUGGUCGACUUGAGUGCAGAAGAGGGAAGUGGAAUUCCAUGUGUAGCGGUGAAAUGCGUAGAGAUAUGGAGGAACACCAGUGGCGAAGGCGGCUCUCUGGACUGUAACUGACACUGAGGCACGAAAGCGUGGGGAGCAAACAGGAUUAGAUA
RNAcentral lists this ribosomal RNA (261 nucleotides) under uncultured prokaryote. RNAcentral describes it as "partial 16S ribosomal RNA". It matches the Rfam family "Bacterial small subunit ribosomal RNA", at positions 524 to 784 of the family's 1533-position model. The record is from RNAcentral.